Molecule: small nucleolar RNA, 157 nt
Organism: Trichomycterus rosablanca
Lineage: Eukaryota; Metazoa; Chordata; Actinopteri; Siluriformes; Trichomycteridae
Product: small nucleolar RNA SNORD97
Exons: 1
Source: RefSeq, a predicted model, not a curated record
UGACCCAGUGAUGAUGACAAAGCGCACAGAGGGAGGUGAGGUGCUGAGUGUGGCUUGCUUUCUUCUCUCUACUCUUCCUUUUCUUUCUUUCUCUCCUGUCUUAAGUCAUUCUCACUCCUGUCCCAAUGAGUGGUAAGAUUAUGAGAUCUGAGGGUCA